This is a long non-coding RNA of Daphnia pulex (common water flea), 174 nucleotides long. RefSeq lists it as uncharacterized. The transcript is spliced from 2 exons. NCBI's taxonomy places the organism in Eukaryota, Metazoa, Arthropoda, Branchiopoda, Diplostraca, Daphniidae. The record is from RefSeq and is a predicted model, not a curated record.
CAGAUCCUACAUUUUUGUCAUUGGAGAGAUGGAUCAGCUGGAACUUUAGGAGAAGAACAGGAACAAGUCUUUUCUACUUUUUCAAGACUCUAUAGUAAUUCAACAAAAACAAUGGGAGCAGCAAACAGACGAGAUUUUUUAACCGGAGCAAUGUUUUAUUGGAACGGCAGAAAA